This 1388-nucleotide long non-coding RNA is filed under the name Homo sapiens (human). RNAcentral describes it as "HSALNT0341213". Lineage: Eukaryota; Metazoa; Chordata; Mammalia; Primates; Hominidae. The record is from RNAcentral.
UGGGAACAGCCAGGAUCCCCUCCGCACGGGAGAACAGCUCUAGACGCGCAGAGGGGCGGAGUCCAAACGGGUGCCAUCACCGACCUGUCUACAAGCAACAUUGUAACAUAUUUCUGAGCCCAUCACAUGGAUAAUGUGACCCUUCUCUUUUUGUCCUGCCCCAAGUGAAGAUUGUGACAUGUCACCAGGCCCUUUGUCUAGGCAAUAUGACUCUUCUCUCCUGUCUGGGCCCUGAUUACAAGGGGGAUUGUGACAAUCACUGGGCCCAUCAUGUAGAUAAUAAGAGUUUCUCUUCCUGCCUGGGCCUUUUCUACAGAAAAGAUUAAGACAUCACUGGGCCAAGCACCCACAUGAUGUCACUCGCCUGCCUGCAUUCUGCCUACAGUGGGUAUUGUGACAUAUCCCUGGCACAGAACCAAGGUAACGUGACUCACCUACCUGGUUCCUGCCCACUGAUGGGAUUGUGACAUAUACCUAGGUCCAGCUCACAGGCAUGAUGAUAACUGUCAUACGUGGACCCAGCCAAUAAGAGAUUUUUGCUCUUAGGCUUAUUACAACAGAGUCUCGCUCUGUCACUCAGGCUGGAGUGCAGUGGCAUGAUCUCAGCCCGCUGCAACCUUCGCCUUCCAGGUUCAAGCAGUUCUCCUGCCUCAGCUCUUGGACAAAACUUCAGCACUCCUGCUAGGGUGUGUCUGCCCUACUAAGACACUGUGCGCAGGUGGAGUUGAGGCUCUUAUGUAUGGAUCCUGUCCACUGUUGAGAUUGUGAAUUGCAUGUGUAGACUCAACUCACAGGAGGUGUUGACUCACAAACCUCCAGCUGGGACAUGUGCAGGAUUAGAAAUUUUAUUUCUGGAUCUUUCUUCAGGCCCAGCUUACAGAAGGCAUUGUGACAGAUCUCUGGGCUCAUUACCUAGGAGAUGUGACUCUACACUGCCGGUUGGGCCGAGCCCCACUGAAGAUUGUGACAUAUUACUGAGCCCAUAAACUAGAAGGCGUUGUAACAUCUCACUAAGCCCAGCACUCAGGCGAUGUGGCUUUCCUGCUAUGGCACUGCACACAAGAAGAAUGUUGACAUAUUCCUGGCCCAGAAUUCAGGUGGUUUGGUGACUCUCAAACCAUGAUUCAGCAGACCUGUGAGGCUGUGAGUUCCCUAUCAGAACACAAUCUGCAGGUUGUAUUGUGCCAUAUACCUGGGACCAAAUUACAAGCACAAUGAUGAAUCUUUUACCUGGAGUCAAGACAUGGGCAGGAUGAUGGAACUUAUCACUGGACCUUUCCACAGUGUUAUUGUGACAUAUGCCUUUGCCCAACAUGUGGUGAUUUGACUCCCCAGACUGGGUCCAGUUCACAAAUAAAAUUGUGCCGUAUACUUGGCCAAGAACCUAA